UCCUGGCUCAGUCGGUACGAGAGGAGAGCUUGCUCCCGGAUGUUAGCGGCGGACGGGUGAGUAACACGUGGGUAACCUGCCUGUAAGACUGGGAUAACUCCGGGAAACCGGAGCUAAUACCGGAUAGUUCCUUGAACCGCAUGGUUCAAGGAUGAAAGACGGUUUCGGCUGUCACUUACAGAUGGACCCGCGGCGCAUUAGCUAGUUGGUGGGGUAAUGGCUCACCAAGGCGACGAUGCGUAGCCGACCUGAGAGGGUGAUCGGCCACACUGGGACUGAGACACGGCCCAGACUCCUACGGGAGGCAGCAGUAGGGAAUCUUCCGCAAUGGACGAAAGUCUGACGGAGCAACGCCGCGUGAGUGAUGAAGGUUUUCGGAUCGUAAAGCUCUGUUGUUAGGGAAGAACAAGUGCGAGAGUAACUGCUCGCACCUUGACGGUACCUAACCAGAAAGCCACGGCUAACUACGUGCCAGCAGCCGCGGUAAUACGUAGGUGGCAAGCGUUGUCCGGAAUUAUUGGGCGUAAAGGGCUCGCAGGCGGUUUCUUAAGUCUGAUGUGAAAGCCCCCGGCUCAACCGGGGAGGGUCAUUGGAAACUGGGAAACUUGAGUGCAGAAGAGGAGAGUGGAAUUCCACGUGUAGCGGUGAAAUGCGUAGAGAUGUGGAGGAACACCAGUGGCGAAAGGCCACUCUCUGGUCUGUAACUGACGCUGAGGGAGCGAAAGCGUG
RNAcentral lists this ribosomal RNA (729 nucleotides) under Bacillus pumilus. RNAcentral describes it as "bacterial SSU rRNA". It matches the Rfam family "Bacterial small subunit ribosomal RNA", at positions 72 to 763 of the family's 1533-position model. Lineage: Bacteria; Bacillati; Bacillota; Bacilli; Caryophanales; Bacillaceae. The record is from RNAcentral.